UGUCGCGGGCCGGCUACGCCGGCGUGAGGAAAGUCGGGACAGCAUAGAGCGCCAUACUUCCUAACGGGAAGGCAUUGGAGACAAUGACAGCGAGUGCCACAGAAAAUUACCGCCCGCGAGGGUAAGGGUGAAAACGUGAGGUAAGAGCUCACGCCGUCGCGUGGUGACACGCGACGGCGGUAAACCUUAUGGGCUGCAAAACCAAAUAUACCGGCGACAGAGGGCUGCUCGUCCGAGCCGGGUGGGUGGGUUGCUAAAGCCUGACGGCGACGUCAGGAUUAGAGAAAUGACAAUCAUUCAGCAAUGAGUACAGAAUCCCGCUUAUGCCUU
This 330-nucleotide RNase P RNA is filed under the name human gut metagenome. RNAcentral describes it as "Bacterial RNase P class A". It matches the Rfam family "Bacterial RNase P class A". From Rfam's summary of the family: Ribonuclease P (RNase P) is a ubiquitous endoribonuclease, found in archaea, bacteria and eukarya as well as chloroplasts and mitochondria. The record is from RNAcentral.